GUGAACGCUGGCGGUAGGCCUAACACAUGCCAGUCGCACGGCAGCACAGUAAGAGCUUGCUCUUACGGGUGGCGAGUGGCGGACGGGUGAGGAAUACAUCGGAAUCUACUUUUUCGUGGGGGAUAACGUAGGGAAACUUACGCUAAUACCGCAUACGACCUACGGGUGAAAGCAGGGGAUCUUCGGACCUUGCGCGAUUGAAUGAGCCGAUGUCGGAUUAGCUAGUUGGCGGGGUAAAGGCCCACCAAGGCGACGAUCCGUAGCUGGUCUGAGAGGAUGAUCAGCCACACUGGAACUGAGACACGGUCCAGACCCCUACGGGAGGCAGCAGUGGGGAAUAUUGGACAAUGAGCGCAAGCCUGAUCCAGCCAUACCGCGUGGGUGAAGAAGGCCUUCGGGUUGUAAAGCCCUUUUGUUGGGAAAGAAAAGCAGCAGGUUAAUACCCCGCUGUUCUGACGGUACCCAAAGAAUAAGCACCGGCUAACUUCGUG
RNAcentral lists this ribosomal RNA (491 nucleotides) under uncultured bacterium. RNAcentral's name for it is "partial 16S ribosomal RNA". It matches the Rfam family "Bacterial small subunit ribosomal RNA", at positions 29 to 507 of the family's 1533-position model. The record is from RNAcentral.